AGGUGUGAUCAUACCAGCACUAAUGCACCGGAUUCCAUCAGAACUCAGCAAUUAACCGUGCUUGGGCGAGAGUAGUACGAGGAUGGGUGUCCUCCUGAGAAGUCCUUGUGUUGCACCUC
Molecule: ribosomal RNA, 119 nt
Organism: Medicago truncatula (barrel medic)
Lineage: Eukaryota; Viridiplantae; Streptophyta; Magnoliopsida; Fabales; Fabaceae
Source: Rfam